CUCAGGAGAGUCAUCACAGUCUCCGAACACUUCUGCAAAGUCUGAUGGACUUUUCCUCAGAGUCUGGUCAGCUGGCAGUGUGUUGUCAUUGUACGAUGACACAAACUUAAAGUCACUGGUUCGAGACCCUGUUGUCAGGUAGGCGUCAUAAUUGUAAGCACUGCGUAAAGUUCCUGUACCGUCAACAUCUGCGUAAUUAGGAGGGAGAUACGCGCUGGGGAUGGCCACUGCUCCGUCAAACAACAGUCUGGGCUUUCUCCUGCGACAAAACCUCACACCAAGGAUGAUGAUGAUGAAGGUCAGAAAAAACGUCGACACACACACCAGCGCGAUGAUCAGAUAAGAGGUCAGUUUGGAGUUCUUCUCAUCAUAAGAAAUGUCCUUCAGUUCUGGCACCUCAGCCAAGUUAUCAGAAAUCAGUAAAUACAUGGAACAGGUGGCAGACAGAGAGGGCUGCCCGUUAUCUUUCACUGACACUACAAGGUUCUGUUUCAUGCUGUCAGAUUCGGAAAUGUCCCGCUGGGUCCUGAUCUCUCCGCUGUGGACACCAAUAGUGAAAAGUCCCGGAUCAGUGGAUUUCACAAUUUGAUACGACAGCCAGGCGUUCUGUCCAGAGUCCGCGUCCACCGCUAUCACUUUGGACACCAGAGAGCCUCCGUGUGCAGCUUUGGGGACCAGCUCGGUCAUGAACGACUUGCCCUCUGGCCCGGGGUACAGGAUCUGAGGAGAGUUGUCAUUCACAUCGGAUAUGAACACACUCACGGUCACGUUGCUGCUGAGAGGAGGAGAACCGUUGUCUCUGGCCAUCACCUGAACUUUGAAGCUCCGGAACUGUUCAUAAUCAAACGACCUCACAGCGUGGAUCACCCCCGUGUCUCCGUUCACUGACACAUAGGAGGACACCGGGGCACCGUUCACCUCACCGCCUAACAGAGAAUAAAUCACUGUACCGUUCUGUCUCCAGUCGGGGUCUCGAGCACUAACGGAACAUAAAGUGGAGCCAGCUUUGUUAUUCUCACUCACAUAUGCGCUGUACGACUGCUCCUCAAACACAGGUGGGUUGUCGUUGAUGUCUGCUACAGAUAACUGAACAGUUUUAGACGACGACAGAGGUGGAGAGCCCUCGUCAGUGGCACUGAUUGUAAUGUUGUAAUCAGACACUAGUUCACGGUCCAGUUGUCCUGUGCUCACCAGAGAAUAAUAGUUUUUAAUAGAAGGAACCAACUUAAAAGGGACAUUUUGAGGAAUGGAGCAGCGGACCUGUCUGUUACUAUCAGAGUCUCUGUCCUGCACGUUAAUGAUGCCCACCUCUGUACCAGGUGACACGUUCUCAGGGAUGGGGUUCGUCAGUGAUUUCAGGUAUAUCACUGGAGCAUUAUCAUUUAUAUCUGUUAUAUCAAUUAUUAGGGUGGCAUAUGAAGCCAAUCCUAGUCCGUCUUUUGCGCUUAUCUGUAAUUCGUAUGACGAUUCUUUUUCAUAAUCAAGUGAUCCGGCCACUGUUACCUCACCAGUCUUGGAGUUCAGAGCGAAAACUUGGUUUUCAUCUGAAACAUCGUCAAAUCCAUAAGAGAUGUUACCAUACAUUCCUUCGUCCGCAUCAGUUGCACUCACUGUGAUCACCAGUGUAUCUACAGGAGAGUUUUCAGGCAGACUGGCUUUAUAAACGGCCUGACUGAACACUGGUACAUUAUCAUUAGCAUCCAGUACAGUGACGUGUAUGACGACUGUACCUGAUCUACGAGGAGAUCCUCCAUCAAAUGCAGUUAGUAACAACAUGAGCUCCUUUUUGUCCUCUCUGUCUAACUCUUUCUCUAAAACCAGUUCUCCAUAUUUUCGUCCGCUUGCUUUCGUCUUUAUAUUUAAUUUAAAAUGAUCAUUCUGUUGAAGAGAAUAGCCCUGAACACCAUUUUCCCCGAUGUCUCCAUCGUGUGCCUCAUCCAAGAGAAAACGCGCACCUUUAUCCGCGGAUUCCUGAAUUUCAAUUCUAAGCGACUCUUCUUUAAAUUGAGGUGAAUUGUCGUUGAUAUCUUGAACGCGAAUAUUUAUUCGGUGCACCUCUAAAGGAUUUUCCAGGACGAGCUCCUGUUUCAGAACACAUGAUGCUCUUUUCGCACAAAGACCCUCUCUGUCGAUCCUUUCUUGAACCAUUAAUUCUCCGGUGUUCAGAUUUACGCUGCAGUACUUCACACUGUUGUCCUCAGUAUCAACGCGGGCAUUGCGAGCCGACAGUCUUCCCGAUUCCAGUCCCAGAUCCUUCGCAAUGUUGCCAAUUACAGAUCCACUUUUCAUCUCCUCCGGAAUGGAGUAGCUCACGUCCCCAAAGACGAGGUGGAGGGCGAGAAAAAUAACAGCUAGGCCGCCAUGCAGCAUCAAUCUCAUAAAUCCCAUUGUCUCUGCUUGAAAAAAAUCUUAUAAAAGAGCUACUUUGGGUCAAAAUAUAUCAACGAUUAUUCAUUAAAGCUGAAAACACUAAUCACAAACAGCUCUAUAUGAAACUGUUUGUCAAAUGCAACACCAAAGGUCUGGCUGUAGAUUCGUUUGGGCGGAAGGGUGGAGAAUGUGUUUCCCUGUUUGCUAGUACACACUGACACCAUGAGUAUUUCUAAGGAAUAACGAGAGACAGACUUUUCUUUUCUGUGCAUAUCAAAAAACGUAUUCCGUGCCCUCAUAUUUUUUUAUUAAACAUUGAAAUGUUCUUACUUUGUCAGGAGAAGAAUCACCAUACAGCUGUUCGGACUUUAACAGUGAGAUAACAGACUGUGACAUGUUCAGAGUGUCUACACUGCAUUAAAAGGCACAUUUUUUGACACCAAGGUCAGACAAUGUUUUGUGAAACCAACCAAAUAAAGUGAGUAACAGCAUAGUACUGAGAAAUGAACUAACUCUAAAAUACAUUACAACAUCCAAUGAUGAUGUUCAGCACCAAAGACAGAAAAAAUAAAAGGAAUAUAAUAUAAAUAUAUAGAAUAUAAAAAGAAAAGCAAACGUCCAGUGAGCAUAUGAUGGAGUGAGAAGCUGGGCCAGAACUAUUUUCAAAUGCAAAGAAGUGGACCAUCUUAACAUGUUAGACAAGAACAUGAUGAGCAUUCCUAAGUGAUGGUGUCUCUGUGCUUGUUACAAAUAGGACAAAAGGAAAAAUAUGUUGUUAUGGUGCUACAUGAAAAAUUGCACUAAUAAGCAAACAUCAGUGUGCAAAAAGCGAACUGAUGUAUGAGUUAUAUGUUUAAAGUAAGAACAGAUAUCAAUGAUAAAGGGAACCAUCUUCAAACUUAAAAAAGAAGCUGAAAAAAUGCAUUUUAAAAUUUAAUUAUCAAAUGUCAAAUAAACUGUGGACACGAAAAGCACAAUUAAAGAACUGAGAAUUGUAUACACAAACUAAAGGGAGCACAACUUUGGGAGCUUGAACAAAAAGGUUCAGUAUAAUAAAAUCCAGUCAUACAGGUGACUACACUCUCCAAAAACAACAGCUAAAUAUUUUGAACUUUGAGUUUUCACUGCAAAACGACACAAACUCUUAGUCACUGGUUAAAGACCCUGUGAUCAGGUAGGCAUCAUAAUUGUACAUUCCUGAGUGCCAAGAAAAAAGAGACAAACCACAGAUUAAAAAGAUUAAUAAAAAGACAAAAAGGGGGAAAGUGUGUGUUUAAAGGGUUUAAAGAAGAAAGGGAAAAUAUUUUUUUUAUUUCUUAUUUAAAAAAGGAAUGUUAAUCAAGUUUUUUUUAACACAAUGCAGCUCAGCUUGAAGUCUCAUGCUUUAUAAACCCUCCUAAAAGUAUGCAGAACAAUAAUGUAAAAAGACACAAACUCUCACAUGUUUCAACAGGAAAUCUGAUUAACUGCUCAUACCAGAAACUGUGUGCAGAUUAGCUCAUUCACUUAUGACUAGUAAACACAUUCAAGAAAAUCAAUCCAUGGAGCAAAGUCAAAGUGAUGGAGUCAGUGGUCCUGCAAACUUAUAAAUGGUCCAUUAACCAAACACCUAAAGGAAAACAAACAUUUCUAUAUAACAUCCUUCAUUAAACAGGGUGACCUGCAUUGGAGGACAAAGUUAAAAAACCAACAAACAGAAACUUGUAGGAGCCCGAGAUGAUACAACUAAAGACACAGUCAUUGCAAACUGCUGAAUGACCACACACCUGUGAUUAAUACUCAAUCUAAUAUUUUCAAAGACACUAAAUAUAAUUGAUGCAUGAGUCAAGUAAGAUAAAAAAAAAAGAAUUUUUGGAUAUUCUUAAUAAUACAGAAAGGAUUUGUUUUCUAAAAUACUGUUUCCAGGGGGCAAUGGAAAUUCAGCACCAAGGACAGAGACAACAAAAAACAUGAUUUGCCCAAAUCAUGCGAAGACAAAUUCCACGUCAAAAUAACAAGAUUUACAUGAAUCACACUUUCAUCUUUAAGUUCACACUGACUUAAAAACAGAAAGCAGAAAUCCACAAAAUGUUUCUGGUGGGACAAGAAUGGAUGUGUAGCAAGGUAUGGGGAACACAGGCAAAACUAUUUAACCCUGCUGAACAGAAACGUAGCAAAAUUGCUCAUCAAAGCUAAUAGCCUCAUGCCUGGAAAACUCUUAUACAGAGACAAAGGAGAGAACAACGUCUUGCAAACACAAAUUUCCUCAUGAUCACAGAACAAUUUCUUCAAGAGUUCCCAUACUGAAUAAACCAGCGUGCAACACAGCAAUCAUAUGAUAUGUACUUAUUUGAACUGCACAAGAGCUAAUGUUGCUUCUGUUCAGAUACUUUCUUCGCACUCAGCUGAUAGUAAAUUAUAUUAUGAAAGCAGAGGACAGUGACAUUUUCUAUGUGGCCAAUAAGAUACAAAAUGGUCCGGCAAGUUUUUGACCAGUGCUAACUCUGACUUGCUUGUGGAAUGUCCUCAACUGACCAAGACCUUAAAGUAUUAGGCACCAACCUGUGUUUUCGUUAGGUUCGAAACACAGAAGGGUCAGCGCUGUAAAGUUAAACACCGUCAGAAAAACUGACAAUGAUAUUUAAAAAAGCACAUUAUGAUACUACAGUAAAGGGACAAAUGAACGAACAAGAAAAAGGCAGAAUCUGAAGAAAGUAUUCUUUCACUGAAUUCAUAAUGGCAAACCAAGUUCCUUAAAUCGUGUGCCGACAAAACGACAAAAACAUUUAACCGUCUCUAUUAAUGCUAUCAAAUUACCUAACAAAAGAGAGAUCUAACAAAAUGAAGCAAAUAUACUGUGUCUGGCAAACAUUCCUACCUCGGGAGAGUCAUCGCAGUCUCCAAACACUUCAGCAAAGUCUGAUGGACUUUUCCUCAGAGUCUGGUCAGCUGGCAGUGUGUUGUCAUUGUACGAUGACACAAACUUAAAGUCACUGGUUCGAGACCCUGUUGUCAGGUAGGCGUCAUAAUUGUAAGCGCUGCGUAAAGUUCCUGUGCCGUCAACAUCUGCGUAAUUAGGAGGGAGAUACGCGCUGGGGAUGGCCACUGCUCCGUCAAACAACAGUCUGGGCUUUCUCCUGCGACAAAACCUCACACCAAGGAUGAUGAUGAUGAAGGUCAGAAAAAACGUCGACACACACACCAGCGCGAUGAUCAGAUAAGAGGUCAGUUUGGAGUUCUUCUCAUCAUAAGAAAUGUCCUUCAGUUCUGGCACCUCAGCCAAGUUAUCAGAAAUCAGUAAAUACAUGGAACAGGUGGCAGACAGAGAGGGCUGCCCGUUAUCUUUCACUGACACUACAAGGUUCUGUUUCAUGCUGUCAGAUUCAAAAAUGUCCCGCUGGGUCCUGAUCUCUCCGCUGUGGACACCAAUAGUGAAAAGUCCCGGAUCAGUGGAUUUCACAAUUUGAUACGACAGCCAGGCGUUCUGUCCAGAGUCCGCGUCCACCGCUAUCACUUUGGACACCAGAGAGCCUCCGUGUGCAGCUUUGGGGACCAGCUCGGUCAUGAACGACUUGCCCUCUGGCCCGGGGUACAGGAUCUGAGGAGAGUUGUCAUUCACAUCUGAUAUGAACACACUCACGGUCACGUUGCUGCUGAGAGGAGGAGAACCGUUGUCUCUGGCCAUCACCUGAACUUUGAAGCUCCGGAACUGUUCAUAAUCAAAAGACCUCACAGCGUGGAUCACCCCCGUGUCUCCGUUUACUGACACAUAGGAGGACACCGGGGCACCGUUCACCUCACCGCCUAACAGAGAAUAAAUCACUGUACCGUUCUGUCUCCAGUCGGGGUCUCGAGCACUAACGGAACAUAAAGUGGAGCCAGCUUUGUUAUUCUCACUCACAUAUGCGCUGUACGACUGCUCCUCAAACACAGGUGGGUUGUCGUUGAUGUCUGCUACAGAUAACUGAACAGUUUUAGACGACGACAGAGGUGGAGAGCCCUCGUCAGUGGCACUGAUUGUAAUGUUGUAAUCAGACACUAGUUCACGGUCCAGUUGUCCUGUGCUCACCAGAGAAUAAUAGUUUUUGAUAGAAGGAACCAACUUAAAAGGGACAUUUUGCUGAAUGGAGCAGCGGACCUGUCUGUUACUAUCAGAGUCUCUGUCCUGCACGUUAAUGAUGCCCACCUCUGUACCAGGUGACACGUUCUCAGGUAUGGGGUUCGUCAGUGAUUUCAGGUAUAUAACCGGAGCGUUGUCGUUUAUAUCUGUUAUAUCAAUUAUGACUUUGGCAUAUGAGGUCAAUCCCAAGCCAUCUUUCGCUGUGACACGCAGUUCAUACGAUGUCGCCAUUUCAAAAUCAACUGCUCUUUUUAAUUGUAUUUCCCCUGUCUUAUGAUCAAUGGCGAAUAUUGACCCCAUAUCUUCUGAGAUGUGUCCAAAAUCAUAUAUAACAUCCCCAUUUAAUCCCUCAUCUGCAUCAGUAGCGCUCACUGCUAGAACAAUGGUAUCCAGUGGAGAAUUUUCAGGCAGACUGGCUUUGUAAACGGCCUGGCUGAACACUGGUACAUUAUCAUUAGCAUCCAGUACAGUGACGUGAAUAACUACUGUACCUGAUCUCUGAGGAGAGCCUCCAUCCAGAGCUGUAAGGAGCAGAUUCAUUUCUUUCACAUUUUCACGGUCAAGCUCAUGGUUAAGAACGAGCUCCACAGAACUUGUUCCAACGCCCAGAACAAAAUUAUCAUUCUUUUGGAGGCUGUAGGUCUGAACUGAAUAUUUACCGACGUCCGCGUCAUGUGCUUCCUCUAUUGGAAAACGAGCUCCCUUAUCUGCCGAUUCACUGAUAUCUAUUUGGAUCAACUCCUUGUUAAACUGUGGUGAAUUAUCGUUUAUAUCCUGCACAUGUAGACUAAUCCUGUGCAGUUCCAACGGAUUCUCUAACAUCAGUUCCUGUUUCAAAACGCAGGAUGCUUUGUCUCCACAAAGGCCCUCUCUGUCGAUUCUCUCUGCAAGAAUUAGAUCCCCAUUAUGGAGGUUUAUGUCACAAAAACGUUUAUCGCUCUCCUCAGUGUCAAUGCGGGCCUUUCGGGUCGAUAGUCCGUUCUUUUGGAGACCUAAUUCCUUAACAAUGUUUCCGAUCACAGAUCCGCGUUUCAUCUCCUCCGGAAAAGAAUAGCUGAUAUCUCCAUUGGUGACAUGAAGAGAGAACAGCACCAAGCCGAGGGCAAAGCGUUGUAAUCCUAGCAUCGUGAAAGCCAUCACCAACCCGAACUGGAAUAGUAAAUACUUCUUAGUGCAGGAAAAAUGUCCGAAAAAAGGACUUCAACCAACAACAAGGAGCCCGUGCC
This 7695-nucleotide long non-coding RNA is filed under the name Xyrichtys novacula (pearly razorfish). The record is from RNAcentral. Lineage: Eukaryota; Metazoa; Chordata; Actinopteri; Labriformes; Labridae.